Molecule: long non-coding RNA, 660 nt
Filed under: Vitis vinifera (wine grape)
Lineage: Eukaryota; Viridiplantae; Streptophyta; Magnoliopsida; Vitales; Vitaceae
Description: long non-coding RNA (VVIN_LNC006889)
Source: RNAcentral
CACUCUCACAUCUCUUUUGGAUGUUAGUUGCCAAAGAAUUUCUGGGUGUUCAUUAUAACAUUAUUUGUAGGAUUGGAAAUUGGUGGUGGAUGUACAAGCCAAGUUGGCUUUUCCACUUGCUGAUACUUCAAAACUGUAUGUCUUCAAACUCAUUUAGGAUCACAGGCCAGAAUACCAAGUUUUAAGGGAAAUGUUCUUUUCUGCCAACUCUUAAUUUCUCUCAGCCUUAGAAAGUUCUUCAAUUCCAACCUUUCCAUAUUGUAUAACAUACCAGUGGCUCUUGCCCAUGAAACCUCCAUGUUAUUCAAGCAUUAAAUCCUUCAUCAUCUAUUGGAGGACUCCAGAAAUGUCAAACAUGGGAAAUAGGCUCCACAAGCUAUAACUACCUUCAUGCAAUGGAUUAGAAUGUGAUUGGCUAAUUCCUCUAUGAAUUUGCAUAGACAACACUAUGCACUAUGAUCAAAGGAGCCAGUAUUGGAUCAUCUUUUGAAAAAGAGAUGUUUGCUUUACUUGAGGGUUUAACAAUUGCAAAAGGGUUUGGUGUCUCCAAUAUCUCGGUGGAGGAGGAUGUGGUGACAGGGGUAUCUUAGGUGGCCUGUGGUUGGAGAGAAUCAUGAAUAUAUGAUCAUUGUAUGCAUAAUAUUGUGGUCCUCACUAGGG